GCCUGGGUGGCUCAGUCGGUUGAGCGUCUGACUUCGGAUCAGGUCAUGAUCUCACAGUUCGUGCGUUCAAGCCCCGCUUCGGGCU
RNAcentral lists this transfer RNA (85 nucleotides) under Felis catus (domestic cat). It matches the Rfam family "tRNA". From Rfam's summary of the family: Transfer RNA (tRNA) molecules are approximately 80 nucleotides in length. Their secondary structure includes four short double-helical elements and three loops (D, anti-codon, and T loops). Further hydrogen bonds mediate the characteristic L-shaped molecular structure. tRNAs have two regions of fundamental functional importance: the anti-codon, which is responsible for specific mRNA codon recognition, and the 3' end, to which the tRNAs corresponding amino acid is attached (by aminoacyl-tRNA synthetases). tRNAs cope with the degeneracy of the genetic code in two manners: having more than one tRNA (with a specific anti-codon) for a particular amino acid; and 'wobble' base-pairing, i.e. permitting non-standard base-pairing at the 3rd anti-codon position. Lineage: Eukaryota; Metazoa; Chordata; Mammalia; Carnivora; Felidae. The record is from Rfam by way of RNAcentral.